AACAAGUGCAGGUCGAUGAAUUUGCAAUUAGAUGCAGCUGUAGUUGCAGUUAGCUCUACAAGUGUAGAUAAUUUUGCUGUUAUUCUUGCUCCGUCUGCUGCACAGGACUUUUGACAAAUUUUCCCCCCUUUUUCUUCAUUUAGUGUGCUUAUGGUUAAAUAUUGGCACUCUCUAGUUAUGUAUUCCAAGAUUGUUCUUUCAAAAUUGUUGUUAUUGUAUACUCUCUUUUCUUUUUUUGGCAUGGCUUGAAUUGUUUGCAAAUCAUCUGUUACUCUUCAAGUCCAGAUAUGUUACUGCAAAUCAAGAAACAUACAUGGGAUUGAUGACUGUCUGCAAACUUUGUACUAUAUCUGCAAAAAAAAAAGAAGUGCAGGUGGAUGAAUUUGCGAAUAGAUGCAACUUUAGUUACUGUUUGCAGCUAGCUCUACACGUGCAGAUGAUGCCAGGCUGCUGCUUUUGCUCCGUUAGCUAUGAAACAACAAACAAGAAGCUCAUAAAAAAUGCAACAACUUUUCCUCAAAUAAUAUGAUACAUCAUGGGGAGCUAUCACCUAGGGGAAUUGCAUCACAGACUGUCAGGGGAGGUUUAAUUUAAGUUGUGGCCUAAAGCCAAACUUCAAUAAAAGGCCUUAAUUUUUUCGUUAAAUAUAAACCUUUAAUAUUUAUGAUUAAUAACUCUUAUAAUUGAUUUCUUUUAAAAGAAUCUUUCCAAUUGAUACCAUAGCUAAUCCACUUUGGUUAUCCAAAAAGGUAACCAAUCCAUUUAUUCAUUGUUGAUCUUAGAUAAAAUUUUAUUAAUUUUAAUUUUGAAAAAGUCGUUUUUUACUGAGGCAGCAGUUAUAUGAAUUGUUAGUUGGAAUAGAAUGAAUUUUUUUUUAUUUGAUUGAAUAUAUCAAUUAAAGUAUUAGUUUCUAAACUAUUUUCCCUAACACUUUUAAUUUGGAAAAUAAGUCUUAACCAUAAAUAUGUAACGACCCGAGCGGUCAUUUUGAGCAUUUGUACUUCGCUCGGUGGUUUAAGGGUAUGAGUAGCUCCGUAUGACGUAUUACGACUUGUCUGUAUCUUCGGUUUCGGUUUUCUGGUGAUUCGGAAUUAGUUUGGAAGAAUGAAUUUCAUUGUUGAAACUUUAUUGUUGGACUUAGGCAUAUGCCCGGAUUCGCAUUUGGAUAUUUCUAGUAGGUUUUGGCACAUUUUGGCAAAAAUGAGAAAGUUGAAGGUUUGGAAGGUUGAGAGGUUUGACCGGGAGUUGACUUUAUUGAUAUCGAGUUUGGAUUUCGAUUCCGGGAGUUUGUAUAGCUCCGUUGUGUCAUUUGAAACUUGCAUGCAAAAUUUGACGUCAUUCCGGAUUGAUUUGAUAUGAUUCGGCGCGAGUUGUAGAAGUUGAAAGUUCAUAAGUUCGAUUUGAGGCGCGAUUCGUAGAUUUGAUGUUGUUUGAUGUGAUUUGAGGCCUUGAGCAGGUCCGCGUUAUGUUAUAGAUCUUGUAGGUAUGUCUGUACGGCUGGAGACUUCAAGGUAUACCUGCUCGACGUUCGCAGGUCUCGAAGUCACCUUCUG
Molecule: long non-coding RNA, 1553 nt
Filed under: Nicotiana tabacum (common tobacco)
Lineage: Eukaryota; Viridiplantae; Streptophyta; Magnoliopsida; Solanales; Solanaceae
Description: long non-coding RNA (NTAB_LNC004503)
Source: RNAcentral